Megalopta genalis is the source of this 943-nucleotide long non-coding RNA. RefSeq lists it as uncharacterized. The record is from RefSeq and is a predicted model, not a curated record. Lineage: Eukaryota; Metazoa; Arthropoda; Insecta; Hymenoptera; Halictidae.
GCGACGCCACUCGAAAGCAUUUCGCCAGGUGUCCAGCUGCGAGAAGCUUUUCGCUAGACAUAUUCUUGAAGGGCACUGCUACCACCGCUUCCAUACGAGUUGUAGAAGCUUCUAGGUCCGCGGGCAGCUUAACAUCCCGGGUCGGCGAGCGGUUCAACCAGACAAGGCCCACAGUACCCUCAUCAACUCGCCCAGCCUGUCUGAGCGAUUCGAGUAGCGAAGGCAGGGGUACGACACGUCGGUGGACACUCGAGGCCCGCCGUCGAGCCGAACGUCGAGGGUUGCAACGGGAGCUCUCUCAACCAAGCGGCUACUGGAGAGAGUAUCACUCACGGUCAGCCUUGGCAAUCGUCGGAGCGAAAGGGGAGGCGCGAAACCGAGACGCAGAACAUCGCGUCCAUUUCUGGGCGAGAAUUGGCGGAGUAAGAGGAACAAAUGUGUAUACGUCUCAUUGUUCCUUCCUGUUUCCCUCCCGAUCCGACGCGGACGAUAGACUCUCGCUGGUGUAGCUGCUACCUCCAGAUCCGCGAGCAGAUGGAUCCUCGUUCCUAGUUUGCAUACAGACGUAUCAGUCAAAGCAGCGAAAGGGGCGCACUGGCAGAACAAACGCAUGGUGGUACAUAACCCCUCAAGGAGUAGAAGCUGUCGUAGAGAAUAUGGUUGACAAUCACACGUUGGCUAAAGCUGUAUUGCGACUCAGAUUCACUGGAUAAUACUGCAGUGUAUUAUUGGAGAAUUAUUAUCGAAAGGAGAUAGCGGAUGCUACUGGAAAAUUUGGUAGAAUUAAAAAUAUGGGAAGAUACAAUGGACCAAAUCUUGAAUAGAUGCAAUGGACCGAUAAGUAGGAAUCUUUAUGACAAGCUGUCAUUGAUAGUUGGAGUCACAAUGGUGAUUUAUUAUAUCUAUUCUUGAGCCCAGUGUUUAAGUAAAGAAUUGGGCCAAU